This 450-nucleotide ribosomal RNA is filed under the name uncultured bacterium. Its description in RNAcentral is "partial 16S ribosomal RNA". It matches the Rfam family "Bacterial small subunit ribosomal RNA", at positions 354 to 796 of the family's 1533-position model. The record is from RNAcentral.
GUGGGGAAUCUUCCGCAAUGGACGAAAGUCUGACGGAGCAACGCCGCGUGAGUGAUGAAGGUUUUCGGACUGUAAAGCUCUGUUGUUUGGGACGAAAGUGCCUGUUGCGAACAGUUACGGGUAUUGACGGUACUAAACGAGGAAGCCACGGCUAACUACGUGCCAGCAGCCGCGGUAAUACGUAGGUGGCAAGCGUUGUCCGGAAUUAUUGGGCGUAAAGAGCAUGUAGGCGGGAAUCUAAGUAUGUUGUUAAAAUGCGGGGCUCAACCCCGUAUUGCGAUGGAAACUGGGUUUCUUGAGUGCAGGAGAGGAAAGGGGAAUUCCCAGUGUAGCGGUGAAAUGCGUAGAUAUUGGGAGGAACACCAGUGGCGAAGGCGCCUUUCUGGACUGUGUCUGACGCUGAGAUGCGAAAGCCAGGGUAGCGAACGGGAUUAGAAACCCGGGUAGUCC